UAUAACUUGCUGGUUUUUAUUUGUAUUGUGUAAAUUAGCCACCCUUUCAGAACUAAUUGGUGUAAUCCACAAUUGCAUAGGGCUUAGCCUCUACAAAAUUUGAUCCUGGGAGGUGAACUCAUAAGGUUAUCUAUUUAUUUAUGGUAUUUAUUAUUGUAAUGGUGGUGAAUGAAACUGAAUCUUCGUCGGUUGGAAAGUAUCAGCAUUGUUUACAUUAAUGAAUUUUGAUAUUUUACAUGAAAUAAGUUUUCUAAUGCACUCAGUGCGAUGAGAAAAUUCAUAAAAGUAGGUCGGUCUUGUGAAC
Molecule: long non-coding RNA, 304 nt
Filed under: Arachis ipaensis
Lineage: Eukaryota; Viridiplantae; Streptophyta; Magnoliopsida; Fabales; Fabaceae
Description: long non-coding RNA (AIPA_LNC000938)
Source: RNAcentral